GAGGGGGGGUUUGUAGGGGGAAGAAAUUUGGCGUGACAAGCUCUUCACUACGAAUUCGGGGAUUUUAAAAAACAGAUGCAAUGGCCGCCGUGUUGCCGGCAAACAGGAGGGUAUCUGUUUGGAACCAGGAAGAGGGAGGUUCACAAUAAACGCGGCUCUUUCGAACCCAAGCAUCCACCGAGCGAUGACAUACAGCAGCUGUCAGGGAGAGUAGACUUUGCCUCAGUCAUCCUUGGACUCGGUGGCCUCUGCAGCUGCAUCUGCCGGGGUGUCAUCCUCUGCUUUAGACUCCUCUGCAGCAUCUGGAGAAAGAAAAGUAGGAAGUGAGGGAGUGGGACAGAAAAGAUGAAAGAAAAUGAUAAGCUAGCGCAAGACUUUUCACAUCACGGCCCAGAGUGAUAAAGCUCCUUUUGAACCACACACUCGGUUUUCGAUUAAACAUUUUUUUCCAAAACUAUCCCCCCAGUUUUCGUAUGCCGCGUAUCAUUUCGCAGAAUCAAGUCCGCAAGCAAAGAACCCCUUGUGUUGGCAACUCAAUCUUCCCUGCCCUCUCCUCUCCGCUCAUUGCAGUCUUCUCCAAAAAGAGUCUUCAAAAAUAGGUUACUGACAAACUGGAGCCUGUCCCAGUUUACUCAGGGUGAGAUGAGAAGAGGCUGAUCACAGAACUGACAAAGCAAGGGACAUUAGAGUCUUUUUGUACAGUCAUUAUAUUAGUCAUUUAAUAUAGAACCGUUUUUUCAGCACAGUAAAAAUGUUUACUUUUUUAAAACUUUUAAUUCCUGCGAGGCAUUUUGAUGCUGUAUCUUUUAUUUAAUCCUGUUUUAUUCAUAUAAGCCCAAUACUUAUUUUUUCUGGAAAAUAAUAAUAAACCGUACAUUGUAAUUGAUGCAUAUCUUGAAACCACUACCUUUUUGUCAGUGUAUGUCGUAAAACAAGCAGCUUUUCCUUUAGUAGCUUACGAUUUUGGGUAGUUGUUUUUUUUUCAUAAAUAUUGCCAAUGUGGUCCUAAAUUUAAAGAAGGAAUAUGUCUAGGGUAAACUGGGUAUAACACAUGGCACACUGACAAAGCUUAACCUAUUGUUACUAUAACAAUCUACAAGGUUAAGGUUGCUUCUCUUUCUUCCCCUCCAUUUUUCUGCAUUCUUUCGUAUCUCAAGUUAUCAUUACGUAUAUGUAUCGUUGCAUUUGAACAAUUGUAUUGUUGAUAAUAAAGGUAAAGUACUGGUAUUGUUUAUUAUCAAUAGCACUAUUUCUAUUGGUAUUCACAUUGCUCCAUUUUUAGUGUAAUAAUGCUCAUUGUCAUUUCUGUAUUUUUUUUUUUUAAAUUUUCGCUAACUGCUUAUUUGCUAUUACUUUUACCAUCAUAUUUGUACAUGUCGUAUUUGCUGAUGUUGCUCUGUUGUUGUUGUUGUUGUUGUUGUUGUGUUUGCUGUUGUUGUUUUUGUCUCUCUGUCUAAUCCCCCUCUUGUCCCCACAAUUCCCCCCUCUGUCUUCCUUUUUCUCUCUUUCUAUCCCCUCCUGCUCCGGCCCGGCUGCACCAAAUGAUAAUAUAAAUACAUUUAAUAAAGUCAAAAUACAAGUAAGGCAACAAGAGAAGUAUCCUACACUUCUCUUUUGUAAAGUAAAUCUGAACAGCCGAUAUGGGCAUCUACAUCUGCUAUAUGAUUUGCCCGAGAAGCUGGGCAGGACAUUAUAAAAAAAAAAAAAAAAAAAAAAAAAAAAAAAAAGAAGGAAUAUGUUCAUGUUGGUCAAAGUCGUACAGUUAUAACCCUAUAUAUAACAGCCACACUCUUGAAAGGAUUUACUGCAUCCAUCCAUCCAUUUUUCUACCAGAUAGACAGACAACAAUCACACACUAGGGACC
Long non-coding RNA from Entelurus aequoreus (snake pipefish), 1864 nucleotides. RefSeq lists it as uncharacterized. The transcript is spliced from 4 exons. Lineage: Eukaryota; Metazoa; Chordata; Actinopteri; Syngnathiformes; Syngnathidae. The record is from RefSeq and is a predicted model, not a curated record.